This is a long non-coding RNA of Motacilla alba alba, 1083 nucleotides long. RefSeq lists it as uncharacterized. Lineage: Eukaryota; Metazoa; Chordata; Aves; Passeriformes; Motacillidae. The transcript has 4 exons. The record is from RefSeq and is a predicted model, not a curated record.
ACCUGCCAAUGAAUAUUCAACUGUAGGAUGUCCCUGAAUGCUGCUUAAAAGGUAUUCUUACUGAGGUUGUGCAACCAGUCUGAGCCAUGAAAGAGUGGAGCUAAAGGUCAUUACUACACAAAGUUGGAGUUUAAUCACUUCUAGGUACCAUAUAAGAAGCCCUUUUUUUAUUGGUCUUGUGAAAUCUACUCAAAUGCAAUAUGUUGAAUGACAAACACAAAAUAAACUCUAACCCUUCAGCCUAAAUAGUUGCCCUGACAUAGUCAAAUUUGGGGCCAGGAUAUUAUAAGUAAUUUUUUACUGUCUUAAAACAUUUGUGUGAAAGGCAUAGAUGUGUCAUUGAACUGUUUUAACAAUUAGGGAGGCUGCACAUGUAUCUGCAGUUGCUCCGUAGUGCCCAAGAACAGCUGCACAGUACUUUUGUUGCAGGAUGUGGCUGCUGCAUAAAAUUGAAGAAUCUGAGUGAAAUUGCUGCUUCUGUGUUACCAUUGACAAUCUUGCCUUCUCCUCUCUUCAUGCAAAGUUGAAUGGUAUGUGUGCCUGUAAGUGUCUAUGGUUUUAAAACCAGACAAAACAGAAUGUUGAGAUAACUGUAGGUGUUAAAUACAUACAAGUAUGAACUGGUACUCUCUACCUUGCAGGAGAAAAAAAGCAUCUGAUUUCUGUCUUGACCAGCUGACUCUGAGCAUAACUGACAGUUUGCUACUGUUGGAACAGAACAUCAGAUUCCAGCUGAGUUUCCGUGAAGCCUUUGUGUGGCCUCUGGGUAUCUUUGACAGUUCCAUAAACUUUUGGGAGGACGUAAUUUCCCCUUGACUUUCCCUCCAAGGUUCUUCAGCUAAGGACUUAACAUUCAUCAGUCUAAGAGUAUCUCCAAAUAACAGUUAAUUAUCCUACCCAACAUCCUACCAGGUUGGUAAGUAUUCUGCUAUUUAACAGUUAAAGAUAAUUAUGAAAAUACUGAAAAUUUCUGACUGAGAAUCAUAAACAAUUGCAUAAAGAACAUUAUUCCUCCACUUGUGGUGAAGCAUCUGUAUAGAAUUUAUGGACUACUGUGUUACUCAACCCAGCAGCAAUGGGUAC